RNAcentral lists this long non-coding RNA (5504 nucleotides) under Gallus gallus (chicken). Lineage: Eukaryota; Metazoa; Chordata; Aves; Galliformes; Phasianidae. The record is from RNAcentral.
GGAGAGAGUCCAGGGAAGGGUAAAUCAAGAAACCAGAAGAUCUGAGGAGGCAGAUUGGGAUCUGGCAGGAGAGGGUUCUGCUGCAUGUUUUGGUCAUGACUUAGGGAAGGCACAGUCACCGAGUGAUGGAUCUGCACCAAGACUUGCCUCGGUCUUUUCUGCAUAAGAACGUGCGGAAGAAUGAUGGUUGGUGCAAGGGGAAGCCAUGGAAAGCCAUGAGUGCCUGUUCAGAAAUCCAGUGGGAAAGAUGAUUCAUGCCAUGUAGUGACACAAGGGCACAAGUGCUGCACUUCAGUCGCUCCACUGAAUUCUAUGGGAUUUUCUGUCUGCUGGAUCACUGCUCAUGUCAGGAAGACAGCGAUAGAGAAGAUGACUCUUACUAAAGCUUCAGGUAGAUGCUGUGCAUCAGACUGGUGAGCAAGAUUAAAUCUCUGAAGGCUCUGGCUGUCUCAAUCUCCAUUGAAGUUGCUGGGAUCUGAAGACACAACUUUCUUAUUACGGUGCUGUUUGCUAUAAGUGUUAAUAUGGUCAAAGGAAGACUACCCACCAAAGACUGUAAGGAACAGUAGCAAAACCUUUUUAUUUUUUACAAACGCUAAUGCUACUUGGGGACCAUUUCAUUCCCCAAGUGUACAUCUGUUUGAGCAAAGGAUUCCCAGAAACAAGCAACAAGAAUAUUGAGACCAUUGCUCAAUAACCACAGCUUUUAUUUGGCAAUAGUUAUUGAGACCUGCAAGGGUUUUCCUGGGCUCAAAACUUGUCUGUUUCUUGUAGCAAUGUUUUCUGUUGGGUCAUAUGGAUUAUUUCAUGUUAUUAGAGCUGAAUACUAGUUGUCUACCAUUUCAGAUUUGCUAGCUUUUUAUCUUGUAGCAAUGUAUUUGUAUGCUGUAAUCUAUAGCAAAAUGCCAUUGUAAUUUUAAUGUCAGGUGUACCCACUGUGAGUCUCAGGUUUGUAUCGCUAUCCAGGGAAUGUGUCUGAGCUCUUUCCUUUUUAAGCCUAGUUGAAGCAGUGCAUCCAGAUGCAUUACUUUCAAAUCUUAUUCUCAAAUGUUUUAGUGGAAAUGAUGUGUGAUCAUUUUAAUCUGGCCUUUAUGUGUUUGACCGGAACUCAGCCUACAUAUUGCCGUGAGACAAGGGAAAUUGGAUGCUUUUACUUUUACAGCCAAAGUAUUCAUAUCCUUCCAGAAAAAAAGAACUAAUCUUCUGAAGCAGCAGGUAAGUAAAAGAUUUGUGGAGAAAUGGGAAAGGACAUUUAAUAUAUUUAAUCUUAUUAUACAUUUUUCUACAUUAAAAGUCAACAGGCUGCAAAUAUAUUUUGCUACAAAGCUUUUUGUAGGAAAUAUCUCUAUAAGAAAAUACAUCUCAUUAAACAUUUCCUGUAAAUAAAUUAUCCCACAUAACUAUGUUUUGUAAGAGGAGAAGGGAGAGGGUUAGGCUAGUGAUAAGAAGAGCCAAAAAUUGCUGAGCCCAUUUCUGCAACCCCACUGCUCCAUUUGGGUUACAUUUUCUUGUACACAUAGUUGAAAUGAAGGCAACAGAGCUCCUCUGUUGAGCAUGUGCUGUCAGUGUAAAUAACACAGACAGUGUUAUUUAAAAGUACAGUUCCUGUACUUUUUUAAUAUCUUGAAAUUAUGCUAUUUCUGAACCUUAUUCCUGUUUUAGGUACACAAGAACUCCUUUGAAAUAACCAAAGUGGAGCUGGUAGGACUGAGUUUGAAGUCUGACUCAGACUGUUAAAAAACAGAAGAGCCCACCCCAGAGCAGUUCCUUAUGGCAAUUAAAAAAUAACUCCAGUAAGCAGGCACAGCCAUUGUGGAAAGCCACUGUAGCCCUUAUACUGGCCCCUGAAACAUCAUGGGACAACACAGCAAGGUUUCAAGAUACUCAGGCCUCUCAUUCAUAGACAAGAGUUUAAAAUUCUACAAUGAAGAGAAACAGAGCCAGAAGACUCCUCUCAGUCAUGGAAAACACACUCUGCAACAGAUGGAAAGAGAAUAGAGGAAAUUAAAUUACUUUGCUCUGCCAAGCCUACAUAAGAAGUCCACAUUACAGAGAUGCACCAAAUACAAGUGACUCUGCACCUUUGACAACACAAGUACAAACGAGGGCAACCACACUGACCAGUCAAAUGAAGAAGAGGGAAGAGGGGGGAGAAAGAGGAAGAUGAUUUAAUAGAUGGAGCCCUGUACUUCCCUGGCAUGAGAGCAGUUUCCUUUGAAACGACAGCAAUGCAGUGGACAUUCAACUUCUCAGAAAGCUGUAAGGUUGCUGUAACAACAGGUGUGAUAAAUACAAUUUGCACUGUUAAAAUAUUCUAUUAAUCCAUCACUGAAAUACACAAUUACUCACUAUGUUUAAUGGAGAAAAAUCUGCCUCCUCAACCUGCACAUUUUCAUCAGCUUAGAAAAAACUUCACGAAAAUGCAGGUGGUAGCAUUGACUGCUUCUGCUAUCAGCUCAGGAGGAAGGGACUCUGCCGUCAAGCAUGAGUUUGCUGAUUCUAUCUGUUGGAAACCCUGUCUUCAGACAUAGCAGAAGGACUGAGAGAUCUGAGCAGAAAAAAGAUGAUGAAUUCUGAAGGCAAAUGUAAGUAAAUUCACUGAGUUCAAAGGAUUUAUCACAGAGGCUCCCCACAAAAUUACAAGAUGUAUUUAUGAAGUUUCUAUAAACUAUGAAGAUACUCAGCCCUACACAUAAUGAUAAUUUAAGAGGAAAGUAUUUGCUCACAAGCAAAAAAACACUUCAGGAAGUAACAAAGGAAAGACAUUCCCAACCGCAAACCUUCAAUCUGAGUGAUGAAUGGCAUGAAAAUCAGAACCCUCUUUGAAAGUAUUUACUUCCCUCCGCUGACCAAAUGGUAGCAAAAUUGUUUGAAAAGUUUACCCUCACUUGUGUGUGCUACAUACUUUGUAAAUCUGUCCUGAGCCUCUUUGUCUAUUUCUCCGUUUUUUUCCAUUUCCUUUUCAUUACAGUCAUGUUUUCCAUUCACUGCAGUGAUCUCUCUGGAAUAUUUAAUGUGUAGUCCAGAAGUCUCCCUGAAUGAAAAACCCACUCUGAAGUCCAUGGGAUUAUUCACACUGAUUUCAAUGGGCACUGUCCUGGACCCUCAAGCUCAGCACAGUAUUUGCCCAACUAAUAUCUAUGUAUGCACAUCGUAACUGAAGUAAACGAGGCAACAAGAAUGCUUAUAUUGAACCAUAUAUGCUGAAGCUACUUGAUUAACUGGGUAACAAGCUGCAUUAUUUAUGACACUGAUAAGGUAUGAAUUGAUGAUAGUGAUUUAUGCUAUUGAUAAUAAAUUCCUGAUAAUUUGCCACUGUGUUUAGUACCUACCAGUGCAAUUUCCCUUCUCUGCAUUUGUCUCAUUCCUGUUUGAGCAGUUCCAUAUGGCUCCCACAGCAUCAUGGGGCAAUGAGCUGUACCAUGUGAAAUAGUAGUUCAGGCUGCCUGAUAAUUGCACACUGUCUGCUCUUGGUUCUUUUAGGAAAAGAAUGAGAGAUUGCUCCCCAUUCACCUUUUCUAUACCAUUCCUCUUCUCCCAUGGGAAUCUCUUUCCCAAACUGUGUGAUGCGUUCCAUUUGAUUUCUUCUGUGUCAAAGCAGUUCUGCUCUGAUCACUCCCACAUCUUCCCUCCCCCUUCCAAUUCUGCCUACUUUAUAGCCUAUUUAGAAAAAUGCACACAGUUACUCAAGAUGAGCAAUACAUUUAACUUAAAAAUAGUAUAAAAUGACCUUUUUUGUUCUCAGUUCCUGAUAUUCUGCUUGGAUUUUUUUUUUUUUUUUGUCUUUUUCUGUCUCCCUUUGCUGCUGCUUUGUGAUAGCUACAGUGACUCUAAUUUAGAAGUUAUCACUACAUGUGCCUAACUAUUGUCACAUUAUUCAUACAUAAUGCUGUAUACCUACAGAAAGGGAAUUUUACCCAUGGUUUUAUUUUCCAGAUGCUCAGCAUACUGGAUUUUACUGCAAGUCUUUGUGGUCCAUUUCAGUUCUUAUUGUUCUGGAUACAUUUCAUUAAAAACUUAUGUGCCUCACUAAUUCCAUUUUCCAGAUAAAUUUCCAAUAUGUUGAACAGCAUCAGCCUCCAAUGAUUUGUAUGAAACUUCACUUACAUCCUCCCUGCCUCCCUGCGUUACAAAAAGUGGCCAUUUAGACCUGCUUGUUUUUUCCUGUCCCCUUACGGCUUAUUAGGUAUUCUAAUGUGUUGUGAAAGGGGUUAUCCCUUGACAAUUCAGUUUCUUUAAAGCUUUUAUACUUGAGCUGGAGCUCUGUUCACAUAUGUAUUAGAAGAGCAGUGGCAAACUGCUUGCCAGAAACAGCAUCAAUUGAGUUUGAUCUGUCAUUAGCCUGGUAAGAGAGCUCUUUUGAAACAUUAACCUUCAUGUUAUCUUUACAAAUAUGAUUAAGGCUGAGUAUUAAGAGAGCAUUUUGGGAGGCAGACAGGAAGGAAGAAGAGAGCCUCAGCCUCACACAUGUUAGCAGGACAGCAGAGCAUUUGAGGUUUCUUCUUCUGGAAAAUAGUCAGGUGAAACAUACUGUGAAAAUCAACUUUAGAAGAAGCAAAUGUUCACAAAAUGUCUUCUUGCAGCUACAGUUUGCGUUAAUUUCCUGUCAGUGUGGUCAUUCUGGAUAGGAGGGAAUCAAAAGUAAAAGCACUGCGAAACUUUUCUAAGCUUUCCCAGCCUACAAGCACAAAGACUUCCAGUGAAAUCAACAGUCCCAGGAGCAGCUGAGCUCCCUGUCCUGCGGUAACACAGACAUGCAUUGUGUUGUAUGGCCAACAGUGCAGCGAGUCGCCCUCAGGGCUGGUCCUGUAUGUUUGUGCCACUUCAGCAGCAUGGAUCGUCCCCAGGGAAAUUCAGCCCACCACCAUCUUCAGCUCUCAUACAAGCUUGUCUUCCCUUCAGUUAAGGGGUAAAGACGCAAAUUUAAGUGCUGCAUCUCAAAAGACUUGCAUGUCAGGGAAAAAAUAAAUAAAAUUCAGAAGCAAAACAAUACACAGAAAUUGAGACCAAGUACUGACCAGUAGAGAAUACAAUACAGCCAGAAAUACAACCAGAAGGAGCACUGGAGGUUGAACCAGGGAAAGAGAGGAAAUCAAAUCCAGAAACCAAGUGUCAGUGUCAGUUGCGCAAUCUGUUUUCACAGAAUCAUCUAAAUCUGAAUUAGUGAAUUCCACUUCAGCUUUUGCUUCUACCCACCACUACAUGCACAGUAUCUGGGAAAUGAGCGAGGCACGUCUCUGGAGAACAGCAUGAGUCCGGUGCCUCCACAGGGCCGAAGUCAAUACGUUCCUGUGUCAGAUGCAUGCACCAGGGUAGCCAUCCCAGCUGCACAACACAUGAUGUGUUGACUGCUUUACAUAGGGUGGGUCAGGAAGAGGCUCAUUAAGGAGAAACUCUACAGCUCUGCUUGCAACAUCUUUGCAUCCUCAACCAGUUUUACACCAAAGCCAAAUUACAUUGCUUUCAAAAAAGGGGUUAUUCCGCACGGAGACAGAAAUCCCUAC